CAGUCGAACGAUGAAGCUCCAGCUUGCUGGGGUGGAUUAGUGGCGAACGGGUGAGUAACACGUGAGUAACCUGCCCUCUUCUCUGGGAUAACUCCGGGAAACCGGUGCUAAUACUGGAUAUGACUCCAACCUGCAUGGGUAUGGGGUGGAAAGAUUUAUCGGGAGCGGAUGGACUCGCGGCCUAUCAGCUUGUUGGUGGGGUAAUGGCCUACCAAGGCGACGACGGGUAGCCGGCCUGAGAGGGUGACCGGCCACACUGGGACUGAGACACGGCCCAGACUCCUACGGGAGGCAGCAGUGGGGAAUAUUGCACAAUGGGCGAAAGCCUGAUGCAGCGACGCCGCGUGAGGGAUGACGGCCUUCGGGUUGUAAACCUCUUUCAGCUCUGACGAAGCUUUUGUGACGGUAGGAGCAGAAGAAGCACCGGCUAACUACGUGCCAGCAGCCGCGGUAAUACGUAGGGUGCGAGCGUUGUCCGGAAUUAUUGGGCGUAAAGAGCUUGUAGGCGGUUUGUCGCGUCUGCUGUGAAAUCCCGGGGCUUAACUCCGGGCUUGCAGUGGGUACGGGCAGGCUAGAGUAUGGUAGGGGAGACUGGAAUUCCUGGUGUAGCGGUGGAAUGCGCAGAUAUCAGGAGGAACACCGAUGGCGAAGGCAGGUCUCUGGGCCAUUACUGACGCUGAGAAGCGAAAGCGUGGGGAGCGAACAGGAUUAGAUACCCUGGUAGUCCACGCCGUAAACGUUGGGCGCUAGGUGUGGGUCCCAUUCCACGGGGUCCGUGCCGCAGCUAACGCAUUAAGCGCCCCGCCUGGGGAGUACGGC
This 819-nucleotide ribosomal RNA is filed under the name actinobacterium X26. Its description in RNAcentral is "bacterial SSU rRNA". It matches the Rfam family "Bacterial small subunit ribosomal RNA", at positions 59 to 886 of the family's 1533-position model. The record is from RNAcentral. Lineage: Bacteria; Bacillati; Actinomycetota; Actinomycetes.